UGUGGUUCUCGGGUGAUGCACCCUGGAACCAGAGAGGAGGGAGCCUGAUUCCAGGGUGCAUCACCCGAGAACUGCC
Non-coding RNA from Myotis davidii, 76 nucleotides. Lineage: Eukaryota; Metazoa; Chordata; Mammalia; Chiroptera; Vespertilionidae. The record is from Rfam.